RNAcentral lists this ribosomal RNA (301 nucleotides) under uncultured bacterium. RNAcentral describes it as "partial 16S ribosomal RNA". It matches the Rfam family "Bacterial small subunit ribosomal RNA", at positions 509 to 807 of the family's 1533-position model. The record is from RNAcentral.
CAGUAGCCACGGGAAUACGAAGGGGGCUAGCGUUGCUCGGAAUGACUGGGCGUAAAGGGCGCGUAGGCGGAUGGCACAGUCAGAUGUGAAAUUCCCGGGCUUAACCUGGGGGCUGCAUUUGAUACGUGUUGUCUAGAGUGAGGAAGAGGGUCGUGGAAUUCCCAGUGUAGAGGUGAAAUUCGUAGAUAUUGGGAAGAACACCGGUGGCGAAGGCGGCGACCUGGUCCUUUACUGACGCUGAGGCGCGAAAGCGUGAGGAGCAAACAGGAUUAGAUACCCCCGUAGUCCCUGUCUCUUAUAC